AACUGCUUAGACAGCUAGGAUGUUGGCUUGGAAGCAGCCAUUCAUUUAAAGAGUGCGUAACAGCUCACUAGUCGAGCGGUUUUGCAUGGAUAAUAAUCGGGCAUAAACAUAUUACCGAAGCUAUGGACUUAUUAAAGUGGUAGGGGAGCAUUCUAUUUGCGCAGAAGGUGUACUGUGAGGUAUGCUGGAGCGAAUAGAAAAGAAAAUGUAGGCAUAAGUAACGAUAAAGGGGGCGAGAAACCCCCUCACCGAAAGACUAAGGUUUCCUCAGCGAUGCUAAUCAGCUGAGGGUUAGUCGGGACCUAAGGCGAAUCCGAAGGGAGUA
Molecule: ribosomal RNA, 325 nt
Filed under: Pseudoalteromonas phenolica
Lineage: Bacteria; Pseudomonadati; Pseudomonadota; Gammaproteobacteria; Alteromonadales; Pseudoalteromonadaceae
Description: partial 23S ribosomal RNA
Rfam family: Bacterial large subunit ribosomal RNA
Source: RNAcentral